This 522-nucleotide ribosomal RNA is filed under the name uncultured bacterium. Its description in RNAcentral is "bacterial SSU rRNA". It matches the Rfam family "Bacterial small subunit ribosomal RNA", at positions 8 to 518 of the family's 1533-position model. The record is from RNAcentral.
AGAGUUUGAUUAUGGCUCAGGAUGAACGCUAGCGAUAGGCCUAACACAUGCAAGUCGAGGGGCAGCACAUGAAGUAGCAAUACAGAUGGUGGCGACCGGCGCACGGGUGAGUAACACGUAUGCAACCUACCUCAACAGGAGAAUAACCCGGCGAAAGUCGGACUAAUACUCCAUAAUACAGGGAUCCCGCAUGGGAAUAUUUGUUAAAGAUUUAUCGGUUGAAGAUGGGCAUGCGUUCCAUUAGCUAGUUGGUGAGGUAACGGCUCACCAAGGCAACGAUGGAUAGGGGAACUGAGAGGUUUAUCCCCCCACACUGGUACUGAGACACGGACCAGACUCCUACGGGAGGCAGCAGUGAGGAAUAUUGGUCAAUGGAGGCAACUCUGAACCAGCCACGUCCGCGUGAAGGAUGACGGCCCUACGGGUUGUAAACUUCUUUUGUAAGGGAAUAAAGUUUAGUACGUGUACUAUUUUGCAUGUACCUUACGAAUAAGGAUCGGCUAACUCCGUGCCAGCAGCAGC